RNAcentral lists this long non-coding RNA (2630 nucleotides) under Panax ginseng (ginseng). RNAcentral describes it as "long non-coding RNA (PGIN_LNC005613)". The record is from RNAcentral. Lineage: Eukaryota; Viridiplantae; Streptophyta; Magnoliopsida; Apiales; Araliaceae.
AAUAAUAUUCAAAUACUACAAAAUGUAAUUCAUAUGAAGCUUUUUUCGAUAAUUGAGUUUUAAGUUCAUAGACAACCGAAAAAUUAUAACGUACAUAUUUACAAGGGGCAUACCCCAGUCAUAACAAAGAUAUCUCGUAUCCGAAAGAUAAUCUAAAAAGACUAACAUAAGAAGCUAACAAAUUUCCUAAUACGCUUGGUUCAAAUGGCAAGGAAAUCUAAUAGUGGUGGUGAAACUAGGCUAAUUUGUGUCAUUUAUUUGUGGGAUGGGCUACAAUAUAAUGGUUUUCUCCUUGUAAACCACACCGAGUCUCGUAGGUUUGUUUAUGAGACUUUUGAGGGGGAACAACCUCAAAUAUAUCACGUUCCUGCUCAUAUGGAAAUUAUGAAUCCAGCUGCUCAAAAUGCCCCUUCACAGUUUUCUGCUUUGCAAACAAGGUCACCUCAAGCGCAAAUAUUAGCGCUACAAAAUUUCCUAUUAAGGCCACAUGAACAGAUCUUUUCAAUCUGGAGGAACCCUAUACAGGCCACAAUCCCUCCCACGAGGUAUGUUCCAACAUUCCAUAUUUGCUCAACUAGUCCUGAACCUGCAGGAUAAGUUUCGGUGCCAUCUAUGGUUCCUCACAGUAUUGUAAACCCUAGGAAUCAAGCAGCAACAUCCAUUUCGCCACCAGCUCUAACCCCUCAACCUCCUAUUAACCCUACACUACUACUUGGACCAACCUCCUCGUCUUUGUCAUUACCAGAGGAUUCUUCUGCAGCAUGCACUGAUUUUUCAAAAUGUUCUCGAGAAGAAUAAUAUUCAAGAAGGUUUGAGAUAACAAUAUGUAUCAGAAGUUCCUGGUUAAGUGGCUUCUUGUCAGGGGAUGACGAUUGAUUUGUGAACAACAGGAACUAAAUACAAUAUCUACAUAAGUUUUUUCAAAUUACGUGAUAAUUAGACAAACUUUUCUCUGUUUUUUAAGUAUUAGUUAAACUUAAUUAUUGACUAUCAUAAAAUUUUCUAGGCAUCACAUACAAAAUGCCUGAAGUUGUUCAUUUCUCACAAUAGCAAAAUAUAUUACGUGAUAACUAGACAAGCAUACAUUGAGAAUACAAAGGACUAGGAAUAGCGUGUCAAUUAGGGUGUGGCUGAAUAUCCUAAUGACAAUAGUCACCAUCAAUCGUUACUAUAAAUGCAAAUAGUGUAAACUAUAAUGUAAUCAUUGGAAAUAAAUGUUUAUGUUUAUAGUUAUGUUUAAGUGCACUAAAAGAUCCAAUCCAAAACAAUUUAAUUAGCUAUAGUAUGGUACAGAAAAAUGAGCACUUGGGGAUAUGAAAUACAAAGAGAUUGAAUGUGAAUGUAUCAAGAUAUUGCAAAAGUUUUGGUUGACAUGAAAAAAGCAAAUAAAAAUUCAACUAAAUCAACCAGUAUUAAAAAAUAGCAAAUAAAAAGCCUUUAAAUACAAGAACAUCCCCUGAUGUUUGAAGAACAUUAACUCAUACAAACUACCCCUACAAGUUUAAAGUUGGACAAAAUUAAUAAUAUGAACUUAAUAAACUUGAGAAAUUUGACAUAAUACGAGAAAUUUUACCAAUGAAACAUGGUAUUCUGCGCAACCAGUCACUGAACAUGAGACUGUUUUGAAAUGCCAUAAACAUCGACCUAAUAAUGCCAGCCUGUCCAUAAACAAAUAGCAACUAGGAUUUAGUACACUUAAUCAAAAGGUAAAACACUUUAAACCAAAGAGACGUACAUUUUUAUUCAACUACAUAAUUGUUGCGUCCUGUGGAAAAUCAAAUUAUAGUCAGAUCGCCCUAAUGCGAUUGAAGAUCUACAUCUGCAUACCUUAUACUCCCACCAUUCCAUAGAAAUAUUCUCAUUUAGCUUUGAUCCUAAUUAAUUUGUGAAAUCCUAAAAUUUAAAUUGUGAUUUAUAUGAAUUUAGUAUCAUCUUUAAAAUAACAAUUCCUUACAUGAUAGCAUUUUUGAGUAAUUUAUAUGAUAUUUAAAAUUAAUUGAAUUCAUGUCAAUUUAAAUCUUAGAAUUUUUCAUAUGGAACACUUAUGGUAGAAUGGAGGGGGUAGUAGACUAUUUGAUUACUCCAUCCAGAAAAAUGAAAAUGUUAUGAUAUAUAUAAGCUCAAACCCCAUUUUCCUCUUGGGGAGGUCCAAGACUAUAUCAAUCAUGUCGUGGUUGAUAUAGUCUUGGACCUCCCCAAGACUAUAUCAACCCCACAUUGAUAUCCCAUACUGAUGUGGACAUGCUCAUAUUGAUAUUCAUAGCAGAAAAAUAAAUUAAUCAAAGUGAAUUUUUUUGAAUAACUACGUAACUUUUGUUCUUUAGAAACUGUACCAAACACAUCAAAAGAUCUCCUAUAACGGAUCCCUGAAUUAAGCAAAUUGAAUCUAGAAAAAAUAAAUGAGUUAAAGAACAUGAUGCCCAACCUUAAAGGAUAAUCGGUUUUCAUCUUCAUCGUCUUCUUCACUAGUUGAGUCAUCUCUGGUUUCAACGCCUCUUUGAUUUAGAAUAAGCGGCAUGAUAGAAGAAAGUUUAGGAUUAGGGUUAGGGAUAAGAAUAGGGGCCGGCUAAGCAUGCAUUUUAUAGUAUCACAUAUCUGUCUACUUACCUAAGACUGAUGACAGAUGUCAA